AGGGUGGUGGCCUGGUGCUCGUGGGUGGGGCAUGUUUCGUUUAUAUGUACCCUAUUUGCGUGUGUACUGUGGAAAAAAUUUAAAAUUUUUGGUCAAAACUUGUGGGUUUGACUGGAUGGCGGCUGACACUGAGAUAUUAUUCUUUUUUCUAUUUCUUGUGGAGGUAGCCUUGCUUUUGCCUUUCUGGUUUCUGCCUUUUAGGCAGCUGCCAUGCCAUUUGUGCAUGUAUUAGGCUGUUAAACAUCUGUUAAUUUCUGUUGUAUUUGGAAGAUGGUGCCUGAUGGUGUUGGCUCUUUUCUGUUACAUUCAUUAGAGGUGAAAAGAUUACAGAUAAGCUGAGUGCUUCAUAUAACUGGGUUAAGCUUCUUCAUCAAGAAUGGCCUCCAAUGCUGGUGCAUCGGAUUCUUCGGUCAGUAAGUAAAUUCAACUUUUAAGUUCCUCCUCUUGGAGCUCCUCAAGUGUAUGUUUUCUUUAAACCUUUUUCUCUUUUGAAUUUGAAACUUAACAAAAACUGGUUACUAUUGCUGUUGAUUUUUGGAAAUCUACUAUGAAAUGUGUUGAGUGUAUUUGUUCUUGGAAGAUCUUGACAGUGUCUUUGAACUGACUCUGCCUGUAACUCUAUUUGGGGCAUUGAGCAUAAUUGUUAGGUGAAUGUAGAACCAUUAUAGCAAAAUUGUAGCACUGUCUAGAUUUUAAUGAGGCUAUAUUUAAUUAGUUAUAGUCAGAUAUGGCUGGGAAUUCAAAGUAGGGCUCCAAUCUCAAUUCCAUUGCUUCAA
Molecule: long non-coding RNA, 776 nt
Organism: Hevea brasiliensis (rubber tree)
Lineage: Eukaryota; Viridiplantae; Streptophyta; Magnoliopsida; Malpighiales; Euphorbiaceae
Exons: 2
Source: RefSeq, a predicted model, not a curated record